UCCUCCUAUCAGGGAAACAGACACGAGACACACACAGAAAGCAUAAAUAACAAAAGGUGAAAACAACAGCGGCGCACAACAACAACAACAACAAAAACAACAACACACAUUACAGAAGCAUCACCACAGAAUUACAACAAAAGAAGCGACGUACAAGACACAGAAAAACUUUGAGAAAGACAUGCACCAAAGACAAAGAAGUUAGAUGAACGGCCAUCUAACGUCCGACAAAAAGGUUUGAAACACAAGAGCAGGAGGAGGGCCAUCUGUGUCACAAAUUAAACAUAUCUCAGGUAAAAUGUUUCAGUAACUGUACAAUGUAACUAUGCAGUACAUUUGAGCUUUAUUUGUACUGAAAACUGUACCUUAAAACUUUUUUUUGUGCAAUUGUUUAGUAUUACCAUUGAGUUGCAUGUGCUUGACGUUUUAUUGUUGUGCUUUUUGUUUAAUUAAGUUAGUGUUUGUAAUGAAAUGUGCUCUAUAAAUUAAGCUGCCUUGCCUUUAGUGCUGCAAGGAUUAAUGGAUAAAUCAAUAUAAACAAUGCUGGUGAUCAAUUAAUAAUUUAAGUAGAGCUAGAGUGAUAAAUCGGCCAAGUUGGUAACAAGAAACUCCAUUACAGAUGUAAAAAAAGGACAAAUCUAACAAUCAGAAUCGAGAUUGUUUCAAAAUAUAUAUUUUUACAUUUUUAUUUUUUAAAUAUCAACCAAUAUAUUAGAUCAACUCCAUCUGAAAAUAUUAAUAUCUCAAAGAUAAUCCACUAUGGGUCAGGGGACACAUGUAAAUGGCCAAUUUUUCCUGAUUUUAGCUUCUUAAACUCGAGUUUUUGGUUAUUGUCUUGGUUUUAUAUCAUUGCAAACUUUGCAAAAAUCUUCAAAAAUCAUCAGAGAAAACUAACAGCUGAAAUAUGUUUCUAUGAGCUUGUAAGUGACCCAUUAAUAAUAACGGUAAAAAAAAAAGGAUGUCUUGUCAUGAAAUAAAGCAUAACCAUCAAGGAAUUGUGUGUUAAUUUACAUUUAAAAAUUGCUUUGAGUUAUCAUUUUGUUAAAGAAGGAAAGUAAAAAUAACAUUUCUUUGACAUUCUGCAGCUCCCUGAUGUGUUAAUAUGGUUAAACAGCUCUAUCUGGUGGCUAAACAUGAACCAGGUAUCUAUAAAAGCAUUUAUAUCAUUCAAUAUUAGUUUUCAAGCAGAAUUUAACUUGAAUAAGUCUGUCAAAAGGUCAUGUUGCUGCACACUGUUGUAGUAACCAUGGUAACUGACCUGGUUGACCAGCCCGGUCGAUGCGGCAACGUUCUCCACCCCCUCCACGCCCGCCUGUGACACCUCGUUGGCUCCGGCGACCACUGUGUCUCCAACGAUGUUGGUCUGAUCCACGGUCCUGUUGGCCACUGAACCGCACAGUACGACUGUGGUAUAUCCCUCCUGCGGUCUUUCAGUCAACAGAGGGAGCCACCUGAGUGUCACUGUGAAUAUCUGUAUCUGAGCCUGUGGUGAUCUGUCUGUCACCAGCCUAAAGAACAGACUGUACCUGAAUGUGAAAGUGUCACUUAAAUCAUCAAACAAGAUGCGGGCAGAAGCAGAUGCAGUUCUGCAGGUGAUGCACAGGACAAGAAAGCCAUUUUGAAAAUAAUCCUGAUAGUAAAUGUCAAUCCAGAUCGAAAGCUUGCCUCAAUAAAUGAAGAUUGCAGGGAUUAGAGCGUGUGAAUGCUUUUUCCUUUUAUGAAAUAAUGUGCAAAUAUAUGGCUUUAGUUGGGUUUUUCCAGAGGAGGAUUUGUGCUUUAGCAGUCCUGAUGAGAUAAGCUCAGACAUGUCCCAGAUUGAAUGAAAAACCCCAUCAAUGGUGGCAGUUUUUAUGCUUUUUCAUCAAUGUGAAAUAUAUCUAAUAUAUAUAUGUACUGAGACAUUAACAUGCAUAGAGUAAACUUACUACACACCCACACAUGUACAUGUGCAGAAGAGAGAACAUGCUGAUGUGUUAAGAUCUCUUCCGUAAACUCAAAGAAUUAUUAAAAUGCAUAAAGAAAAUGCAUCAUUGCGGAUAGAUCUUUUUUUUAAUUAAAUAGCUGCUUAAGCACCAUCUCAUUAUCUGCAAAACUGCCUUAGGCAAUACUGUAAUAUCAAUGGAGAAAAUCUGCCACUAGGACCCUUUUCUUACGUAUUAUUGAUGAGUUAAGAGAAGAAAAAUCUGAUUUUGGGGAGAUUUUAAGAUAUUACUAAUUUAAAAAAUGUAAUAUAAUAUAACACUUGAAUAGAAUUUACAUAAAAUGAGUUUGGAGCUGUUUGUGUUCACUGACUGGUAUGAUUUCUUUAUUAAAUCACAGAGCACGUCCAGCUGUCUGUCCAGGUCUGGCCUGUGUAUGAGCAGCUGUGCGGACCUUGUUACUGUGUACCCACAUUCACAUGCUGACGUAUGCACUCUGCUGCAGGCAGAUACAGUGCUUUAUCGUCGCCAUCGACCCUCCUCACUUCAGCGAUCAC
Centropristis striata (black sea bass) is the source of this 2476-nucleotide long non-coding RNA. RefSeq lists it as uncharacterized. The record is from RefSeq and is a predicted model, not a curated record. The transcript is spliced from 3 exons. Lineage: Eukaryota; Metazoa; Chordata; Actinopteri; Perciformes; Serranidae.